CCUACGGGAGGCAGCAGUGGGGAAUUUUGGACAAUGGGCGCAAGCCUGAUCCAGCAAUGCCGCGUGAGUGAAGAAGGCCUUCGGGUUGUAAAGCUCUUUUGUCAGGGAAGAAACGGUCUACUCUAAUACAGUGGGCUAAUGACGGUACCUGAAGAAUAAGCACCGGCUAACUACGUGCCAGCAGCCGCGGUAAUACGUAGGGUGCAAGCGUUAAUCGGAAUUACUGGGCGUAAAGCGUGCGCAGGCGGUUAUAUAAGUCAGAUGUGAAAUCCCCGGGCUCAACCUGGGAACUGCAUUUGAGACUGUAUGGCUAGAGUGUGUCAGAGGGGGGUAGAAUUCCACGUGUAGCAGUGAAAUGCGUAGAUAUGUGGAGGAAUACCGAUGGCGAAGGCAGCCCCCUGGGAUAACACUGACGCUCAUGCACGAAAGCGUGGGGAGCAAACAGGAUUAGAUACCCUGGUAGUCCACGCCCUAAACGAUGUCUACUAGUUGUCGGGACUUAAUUGUCUUGGUAACGCNGCUACGCGNGAGUAGACCGCCGUCGGGAGGUACGGUCGCGAGAGUAAACGUAACGAAAGAAGUAGUACGCGUGAGACGUAGCGACGGACGACGACGAGGGAGGAGG
Molecule: ribosomal RNA, 625 nt
Filed under: uncultured bacterium
Lineage: Bacteria
Description: bacterial SSU rRNA
Rfam family: Bacterial small subunit ribosomal RNA (bases 1-540)
Source: RNAcentral